RNAcentral lists this long non-coding RNA (1350 nucleotides) under Pan troglodytes (chimpanzee). RNAcentral's name for it is "lncRNA (ENSPTRG00000054413.1)". The record is from RNAcentral. Lineage: Eukaryota; Metazoa; Chordata; Mammalia; Primates; Hominidae.
UCCAGCAAUAAUGCUGCUCCACUGCCUUUCCAUUCGCCUUCUGCGAGGUUUCCUGCAAGCCCUGACAUUCCUUGGCUUGCUAGAUGCCAUCACCCCAGUUUCUGCCCCAUCAUCACAUGGCCUCCUCAUCUUGCGUGUCUGCCUCUGCAUUUCCUCUUAUUCUUCUAAGGACACGACACCAGUCUAUAUGUGGAUUAAGGGUCCACUCCUAACUAAUUCACUAUCUGCCAACAACCCUAUUUCCAAAUAAAGUCACAUUCUAAGAUUCCUAGGGAGAACAUGAAUUUUUGGGGGCGUGUGGAUACUGUUCAACCUGGGACAUGGAGUAAAUAAAUGGCAAGGAAGAUUACAGAUGACUUUAAGCUAAAGAGGGAGAUAGGGUUAAAUGUAGGACUUUUUUUUUCCAGGACGGGAGAGGUUUAAACAUGUUACUACAUUGAAUAAAUGAAAUAACCAUGAACAUGGAGUGGCUAAAGAUUCUGAACUAAGUGCAACUGCAUAUUUGUGUGGCGCCUGAGCUCUGAGAUGACCAUCAGCAUGAGGCAGCAUCUGGCCGAGUUGCGCCAGCGUCAGCGGGGCGGCAAGCAGCAAGGACCAUCCUCUCCCCAAAGGGCUUCUGGACCCAACCGGCACCAGGCCCCAUCAAUGCUGUCUCCUGGACCGGCUCUCUCAUCAGACAGUGACAAGGGGGGAGAAGAUGAGGGGACUGAAGAAGAACUUCCAGCACUGCCCGUCCUUGCCAAGAGUACCAAGAAGGCACUGGGUCUGUGGCAGUUGGGUGUGGGGGCAGACAGGUCCUAGUUGGUAUGAUGGUUAGAUAUGGUUUUUCUGAGACUGUGGGGUGAGAGCAGUGUGAGCUGAGGAAACUGAGGCAUCAUUGUGGCCACACAGGGUAUGGGCUGAUGGGGCCAGGGCUCCAGGGUUGGGUGGGGGCGGGGGGGCAGGAGACACUUCCUCUGACUGCCUGUUUCUGUCUAGCCUCGGUCCUCAGCCCAGCCUUGCCCCGAAGCCUGUCCCAUUGGGAGAUGAGUCGGGUGAGUCACCAUUGUUAAAAUGUUCUUCCAAGGUUAGAGGAGGCAAAGGGAGCUGUGAGAACAGGGCUCUCUGGGCCUGGUAGGGUACUGGGGCAUGGGGUCUGCCCACAUGCUGCACUCCUGUGUCCAAGGAAGGCCUUGUCGGGGAAGUUGAAGCAGCUGGGCCGGUCCUGGGUGCGGGGUGAAGAAAGCCCAGGUAUUUCCUUCCUGUGGACCAGUUGGGGUGGAUGGAGCACAGGGUUAGUCAGCACUGGGGAGGUGGGGCACUUGUUCAGCUGCCUGGUGCCUGGAAGUAAAUAUCAUCAGAGAAGAGCUC